This 782-nucleotide ribosomal RNA is filed under the name uncultured bacterium. RNAcentral's name for it is "bacterial SSU rRNA". It matches the Rfam family "Bacterial small subunit ribosomal RNA", at positions 8 to 796 of the family's 1533-position model. The record is from RNAcentral.
AGAGUUUGAUCCUGGCUCAGGACGAACGCUGGCGGCGUUAACACAUGCAAGUCGAGCGGUAAGGCCCUUUCGGGGGUACACGAGCGGCGAACGGGUGAGUAACACGUGAGUAAUCUGCCCUUCACUUUGGGAUAAGCCUCGGAAACGGGGUCUAAUACCGGAUACGACCAAUCCCUGCAUGGGGUGUUGGUGGAAACUUUUUUGGGUGGGGGAUGUGCUCGCGGCCUAUCAGCUUGUUGGUGGGGUAAUGGCCUACCAAGGCUUCGACGGGUAGCCGGCCUGAGAGGGUGACCGGCCACACUGGGACUGAGACACGGCCCAGACUCCUACGGGAGGCAGCAGUGGGGAAUAUUGGACAAUGGGGGAAGCCUGAUCCAGCAACGCCGCGUGAGGGAUGACGGCCUUCGGGUUGUAACCUCUUUCAUCACCGACGAAGGCUCAUUCUUUUGGGUGGGUUGACGGUAGGUGGAGAAGAAGCACCGGCCACUACGUGCCAGCAGCCGCGGUAAUACGUAGGGUGCGAGCGUUGUCCGGAAUUAUUGGGCGUAAAGGGCUCGUAGGCGGUUUGUCGCGUCGGGAGUGAAAACACCGAGCUUAACUCGGUGCUUGCUUUCGAUACGGGCAGACUGGAGGUAUGCAGGGGAGAACGGAAUUCCUGGUGUAGCGGUGAAAUGCGCAGAUAUCAGGAGGAACACCGGUGGCGAAGGCGGUUCUCUGGGCAUUACCUGACGCUGAGGAGCGAAAGUGUGGGGAGCGAACAGGAUUAGAUACCCUAGUAGUCC